Long non-coding RNA from Mugil cephalus (flathead mullet), 217 nucleotides. RefSeq lists it as uncharacterized. NCBI's taxonomy places the organism in Eukaryota, Metazoa, Chordata, Actinopteri, Mugiliformes, Mugilidae. The transcript is spliced from 3 exons. The record is from RefSeq and is a predicted model, not a curated record.
UCCAUGAAGCCGGAUCAUCUCAGUGAUGUAGACUGAACUGUCUCCAGGUGACUUGAGCUCUGAGGAUAGAAUCAGAUGUGAUCAGGUGUAAAGUGACCAUCAGCUUCAGAACCGGAAGUUGCGGUCUAUUCAAUGAUGGACUGGUCAUCUCUCAGGCGACAUCUAACAACAACAACAUAAUUUUUCAGUAAGUUAAAGUGAAGUAUCUCAUCAAUCU